CUUCACCUACGGGGCGCAGCAGUAGGGAAUCUUCCACAAUGGACGAAAGUCUGAUGGAGCAACGCCGCGUGAGUGAAGAAGGGUUUCGGCUCGUAAAGCUCUGUUGGUAGUGAAGAAAGAUAGAGGUAGUAACUGGCCUUUAUUUUACGGUAAUUACUUAGAAAGUCACGGCUAACUACGUGCCAGCAGCCGCGGUAAUACGUAGGUGGCAAGCGUUGUCCGGAUUUUUUGGGCGUAAAG
Molecule: ribosomal RNA, 240 nt
Filed under: uncultured bacterium
Lineage: Bacteria
Description: partial 16S ribosomal RNA
Rfam family: Bacterial small subunit ribosomal RNA
Source: RNAcentral